GGGGGUUUAGCUUAGUGGCAGAAGUGCCUGCCUGACAAGCAUGAGGUCAUGAGUUUGAUCCCCUA
This 65-nucleotide transfer RNA is filed under the name Cavia porcellus (domestic guinea pig). It matches the Rfam family "tRNA". From Rfam's summary of the family: Transfer RNA (tRNA) molecules are approximately 80 nucleotides in length. Their secondary structure includes four short double-helical elements and three loops (D, anti-codon, and T loops). Lineage: Eukaryota; Metazoa; Chordata; Mammalia; Rodentia; Caviidae. The record is from Rfam by way of RNAcentral.